GGACUAAUAUGUCGGUCGUGCCUCGGUACGUACUGGUAUUUUUGGUUUCUCCCUUCUGACGAACCUUGAUGUCAUUAAUUUGGUGUCUUGGGAAAUCAGGACUGUUACUUUGAAAAAAUUAGAGUGUUUAAAGCAGGCUCGCGCUUGAAUACAUUAGCAUGGAAUAAUGAAAUAGGACGUUUGAUUCUAUUUUGUUGGUUUCUAGUAUCGACGUAAUGAUUAAUAGGGAUAGUUGGGGGCAUUAGUAUUCAAUUGUCAGAGGUGAAAUUCUUGGAUUUAUUGAAGACUAACUACUGCGAAAGCAUUUGCCAAGGAUGUUUUCAUUAAUCAAGAACGAAAGUUAGGGGAUCGAAGACGAUCAGAUACCGUCGUAGUCUUAACCAUAAACUAUGCC
Molecule: ribosomal RNA, 394 nt
Filed under: uncultured Glomus
Lineage: Eukaryota; Fungi; Glomeromycota; Glomeromycetes; Glomerales; Glomeraceae
Description: SSU rRNA
Rfam family: Eukaryotic small subunit ribosomal RNA
Source: RNAcentral